Molecule: long non-coding RNA, 2409 nt
Filed under: Panax ginseng (ginseng)
Lineage: Eukaryota; Viridiplantae; Streptophyta; Magnoliopsida; Apiales; Araliaceae
Description: long non-coding RNA (PGIN_LNC003418)
Source: RNAcentral
AGAAUUUCAGGCUACAACGACGAGCUAUACCGACGGUCGGUGCAGAAAUGCAGCUAUAGGGUUAUAUAGUGACGGUCCCUCCUCGACCCUAAGUAAAAUAGCUGAAGAGCAGCCCACUAGCGAGGGUCACCGCUUGACCGCAGGUAUAAGGUAUGUUUUUGAGUAAUCUAUUCCGGUGUAAAGUCCAAUUUUUCACGAAGGUAUUCUACGUUCUCUCUCUCAUCUCCCAUUUUUCUCAUCUCCAAAUCUUAGAUCUUGCCCUUUCUUUCUUGCCAAAUUUCAUCUUCUUUUUCUUCAUCUACAGAUCUCAGAUCUUGCCCUUUCUUCAUUGCCAAAUUUCUUCUUCCCUUUCUUCAUCGCCAAAUUUUGUAGCCAAAUCUUCCUCGAAAAUCUCAGAGCUCAAACAUCCUUGUUCGAUCUCAAAGCUAGCAUUGCUCAUCUAGGGCACUCAAAUCUCAAAGCUCCACACGACUUGAAAUUCAUAUUUAUCUUUCUAAAAUUUCAGGUUUGAAAGUGUGACGACCAAUGACAUUGCCAGAUCCAUUGUCUUUUCGUUGAGAAAAAAAUUCCAAAUCCCCUGUCCUCGACUCUAUUUGUAUAAGUAGAAGGUAUGAAUAAUGUUAGAUUCAAUCAAAUGUAUAAUUCGUUUAAUUUUCUUGGUUUUGAUACAUUCAUGAGAUAGGUCGAUUUGAAUUUGGAUUUUUCUAGGUUAAAUUCAGUUUAUAGACAAUUUUAUGAUGAUUCUGUUUGAUUAAUUAUGUUAUGUUAUGUUUGGCAUUCUAGGGAGAGCUGUAUAUGUCUAUUUCACUUUUGGGCUUUCUUGGUUGUUCCAAAACCUUGUCAUUAUAAUCUUAAACAACUCUUUUGCAAAAAGAAGAAAUUUGAGGUAAUUAUGGAACUAUGUAAAUUUUACAUAAUUUGUAAAUUGUGGAAAUCAAUGGAGUAUCUGAAUUGGGAGAGAAAGAGUACUUUUUAUCUCCUUAUUGUCUUCUGUUGUUUUUUGUAGUGAAUCAUAUUAGUAAUAACUGUGUUUAAGAUCCUUAUAUGGCGACUACUCUUAUAAAGAAGAUAACUUGGGUCAUUUGAAAAUUUUACUAACAACUUUUAGCAGUGCCUUAGAACAUAAUCUUUUUAGGCGCAUUACAUAUGUUAAUCAAUUUGAGUUUUUCAUUUGUCUGCAUAUGGAGUCAAUUUUAGAUUGGGCAUGCCCCAUGUGACUUGGAAUUUGUACUUCUUAAAUUAAGAAUUACAAUUUCUCUCCUGAGGCCCAUGUAGCAUGGAGGGGCAGUAUAGGCAAUGCAUCUCUAUGGGGCCAGGAUUGUACAUUUAAUUUUACAGUAAAGCAUUUUUCUGUACUGUUUUACUUACACUUCUAUUAAAUUUGGAAAGCUCAAUAUACAGUCUUGCUUAGUGGAACUUUUGCUUUAUCACGACCAAUUGAGUGGAUACGGUAAAUGACAUUGCAAGGGUAUAAGUAAAAUUGUCAUUCCAUAGCUUAACCUUUUUGGGGAAAAAUUUGUCAUUCCAUUUUAAUACGUUCUUCAUAUUUUAUUUUUUGCUAUACUAUGAGGUUGUAUUUGAAUUCAUCAUUAGUUGUACUGCUAAUUUGUCUAGGGUAUAUUUCGAAUGUAUCAAGGUGCAAGUAAUCAUGAAGAGCUUCAUAAUUUGAUGAAAAUAGCAAUGAUGAUUCGUAGACUCAAAAAGGACAUUCUGGUUAAGCUAUCUGCAAGGCUUUAUCCCCUAUGUUUCACUAUGGUGCCUUCUUCUGGCUUUCUUACACAAUUUUUUUUCUUUCUUUUCUCUAUGGUGCAAUUUUGAGUGCAGGAAAUGUAAUUUACUUGGUGAAUGACUUGCAGACUUGUAGAUCUAAAAUGUGAAUCAAGAUAUUAUAUAAGGUAAACGCUUUACAAGAGUAAUAGUAAAUAUUUAUUCUUUAUUGCUGGAAGGAAUUUCUUCUAGAAAAUGGAUCUUUGUUAAAAUACAUCUAUUAUCCUGCUGCUUUAAGAAUGAAAAUAGCACUAUGAAGAUAUCAAACUUUUGAUCCGUUAGUCCUAUUUAUAUAUUUAUUUUGGCUUUUAGAUUUAUCAUGUUGGCUAUUUUUAUUUUCACUACUAGAAAAUCGACCUAUAGCGACGGUCUGGGCGGAACCGUAACUAUAGGAUAUUUUCACUUCUGUUAGGUUUUUGUUUGUUCUGUUACUUUUAUCUUAGGUGUUCUUAUUAUCUUUAUGUUUCUUCUUCUUUUUUUAACGCAACCAUGUUUUGGGCACAAAGAGAACUAUUAUCUUUAUGUUCCAGCUUAUAUACUCUAGUAUGUUGAAGAAGUUAAGUAAUUUCAUUGUUUCAUUUCUUUCUUCAAUUAUUUCUAGUUGGUUUUAGCCCCAUCUAAAAUUCCCUUUAUCUUUUGCAG